RNAcentral lists this non-coding RNA (77 nucleotides) under uncultured Goniomonas sp. Lineage: Eukaryota; Cryptophyceae; Goniomonadida; Goniomonadaceae. The record is from RNAcentral.
CUUGAUGGACGGUAUCAUUGUGGUGCUUUCCAUUUCCCUAGGUGCGGUGCUCAUUGGUGUGGUUGUAAACAUCUACA